UACGUAGGGGGCAAGCGUUGUCCGGAAUUAUUGGGCGUAAAGCGCGCGCAGGCGGUCCUUUAAGUCUGAUGUGAAAGCCCACGGCUCAACCGUGGAGGGUCAUUGGAAACUGGGGGACUUGAGUACAGAAGAGGAGAGUGGAAUUCCACGUGUAGCGGUGAAAUGCGUAGAGAUGUGGAGGAACACCAGUGGCGAAGGCGAGUCUCUGGACAUUUCCUGACGCUGAGGCACGAAAGCCAGGGGAGCAAACGGG
Molecule: ribosomal RNA, 253 nt
Filed under: uncultured bacterium
Lineage: Bacteria
Description: partial 16S ribosomal RNA
Rfam family: Bacterial small subunit ribosomal RNA
Source: RNAcentral